AAAAAAAGUAAGCUAUUCAUCUUUCCUUUGUUACUGAAAAGAUAAAAUAGUAAAACUACAAAUGAAAAAUAAAAAAAUAUAUUACUCACUCACAUCCCUAAGAGUUGAGUGAAAAGAAAAAAUGGAAUAUUUGUAAAAAAAGAUGUACUUUGUGGUCCUUCCUACAAUCUCUUAUUAGACUGUCAUAUAACAAGUUAGGACACACUCUUCACUUUCGAUGCCGCACAUACACUAUUUUUUGGCAAAUCCGACACACACCCUUGAUAUUUUUGAAGAGUCUCAAGCAACAUAGAUAAUAUAUAGCCUAAAAAACUCUCUCUCCGGUGGCAUAAACAUUCCAAAAGAUGGCUGUAACAAAGUAGAGGCAAGCAGUGAGAGUUAAA
Molecule: unclassified non-coding RNA, 383 nt
Filed under: Hevea brasiliensis (rubber tree)
Lineage: Eukaryota; Viridiplantae; Streptophyta; Magnoliopsida; Malpighiales; Euphorbiaceae
Source: RNAcentral